This 212-nucleotide unclassified non-coding RNA is filed under the name uncultured fungus. RNAcentral's name for it is "sequence contains ITS1, 5.8S rRNA gene". Lineage: Eukaryota; Fungi. The record is from RNAcentral.
UUAACUAUUAAGUUUGUAACUAAGACAUCAUAUUUAAUCAAGAAUUUGAAGGGGCCACUGACGGGCACGGGCCAGAAGUCUGGUUGAGACCAAACUUCCGGCGGUCGUGAGACGGGCCCGCCAAAGCAACAUGGUAAUUAAACAAAGGGUUGGAGAUCGGGCCCGGAGACCCUUACUCUUUAAUGAUCCUUCCGCAGGUUCACCUACGGAAA